GACGAACGCUGGCGGCGUGCUUAACACAUGCAAGUCGAACGGAAAGGCCCCUUCGGGGGUACUCGAGUGGCGAACGGGUGAGUAACACGUGGGCAAUCUGCCCUGCACUUCGGGAUAAGCCUGGGAAACUGGGUCUAAUACCGGAUAGGACCUUUAGACGCAUGUCUCUUGGUGGAAAGCUUUUGCGGUGUGGGAUGGGCCCGCGGCCUAUCAGCUUGUUGGUGGGGUGAUGGCCUACCAAGGCGACGACGGGUAGCCGGCCUGAGAGGGUGUCCGGCCACACUGGGACUGAGAUACGGCCCAGACUCCUACGGGAGGCAGCAGUGGGGAAUAUUGCACAAUGGGCGCAAGCCUGAUGCAGCGACGCCGCGUGGGGGAUGACGGCCUUCGGGUUGUAAACCUCUUUCACCAUCGACGAAGGUUCGGGUUUUCUCGGAUUGACGGUAGGUGGAGAAGAAGCACCGGCCAACUACGUGCCAGCAGCCGCGGUAAUACGUAGGGUGCGAGCGUUGUCCGGAAUUACUGGGCGUAAAGAGCUCGUAGGUGGUUUGUCGCGUUGUUCGUGAAAUCUCACGGCUUAACUGUGAGCGUGCGGGCGAUACGGGCAGACUAGAGUACUGCAGGGGAGACUGGAAUUCCUGGUGUAGCGGUGGAAUGCGCAGAUAUCAGGAGGAACACCGGUGGCGAAGGCGGGUCUCUGGGCAGUAACUGACGCUGAGGAGCGAAAGCGUGGGGAGCGAACAGGAUUAGAUACCCUGGUAGUCCACGCCGUAAACGGUGGGUACUAGGUGUGGGUUUCCUUCCUUGGGAUCCGUGCCGUAGCUAACGCAUUAAGUACCCCGCCUGGGGAGUACGGCCGCAAGGCUAAAACUCAAAGGAAUUGACGGGGGCCCGCACAAGCGGCGGAGCAUGUGGAUUAAUUCGAUGCAACGCGAAGAACCUUACCUGGGUUUGACAUGCACAGGACGCGUCUAGAGAUAGGCGUUCCCUUGUGGCCUGUGUGCAGGUGGUGCAUGGCUGUCGUCAGCUCGUGUCGUGAGAUGUUGGGUUAAGUCCCGCAACGAGCGCAACCCUUGUCUCAUGUUGCCAGCGGGUAAUGCCGGGGACUCGUGAGAGACUGCCGGGGUCAACUCGGAGGAAGGUGGGGAUGACGUCAAGUCAUCAUGCCCCUUAUGUCCAGGGCUUCACACAUGCUACAAUGGCCGGUACAAAGGGCUGCGAUGCCGCAAGGUUAAGCGAAUCCUUUUAAAGCCGGUCUCAGUUCGGAUUGGGGUCUGCAACUCGACCCCAUGAAGUCGGAGUCGCUAGUAAUCGCAGAUCAGCAACGCUGCGGUGAAUACGUUCCCGGGCCUUGUACACACCGCCC
RNAcentral lists this ribosomal RNA (1366 nucleotides) under uncultured bacterium. RNAcentral describes it as "bacterial SSU rRNA". It matches the Rfam family "Bacterial small subunit ribosomal RNA", at positions 28 to 1395 of the family's 1533-position model. The record is from RNAcentral.